This 308-nucleotide ribosomal RNA is filed under the name Klebsiella quasipneumoniae. RNAcentral's name for it is "23S rRNA. Bacterial LSU". It matches the Rfam family "Bacterial large subunit ribosomal RNA", at positions 2623 to 2925 of the family's 2925-position model. The record is from RNAcentral. Lineage: Bacteria; Pseudomonadati; Pseudomonadota; Gammaproteobacteria; Enterobacterales; Enterobacteriaceae. RNAcentral also lists the same sequence under 2 other names.
GAGACAGUUCGGUCCCUAUCUGCCGUGGGCGCUGGAGAAUUGAGGGGGGCUGCUCCUAGUACGAGAGGACCGGAGUGGACGCAUCACUGGUGUUCGGGUUGUCAUGCCAAUGGCACUGCCCGGUAGCUAAAUGCGGAAGAGAUAAGUGCUGAAAGCAUCUAAGCACGAAACUUGCCCCGAGAUGAGUUCUCCCUGAGACUAUAAGUCUCCUGAAGGAACGUUGAAGACGACGACGUUGAUAGGCCGGGUGUGUAAGCGCAGCGAUGCGUUGAGCUAACCGGUACUAAUGAACCGUGAGGCUUAACCUU